Molecule: ribosomal RNA, 330 nt
Filed under: uncultured eukaryote
Lineage: Eukaryota
Description: partial 18S ribosomal RNA
Rfam family: Eukaryotic small subunit ribosomal RNA
Source: RNAcentral
CCCUUAGAUGUUCUGGGCCGCACACGCGCUACACUGAAGGAGGCAGCGUGUCUUAUCCUUAACCGAAAGGUUUGGGUAAUCUUUUCAAAGUCCGACGUGAUGGGGAUUGAUCAUUGCAAUUAUUGAUCAUGAACGAGGAAUUCCUAGUAAGCGCGAGUCAUCAGCUCGCGUUGAUUACGUCCCUGCCCUUUGUACACACCGCCCGUCGCUACUACCGAUUGAAUGGUUUAGUGAGAUCUCCGGAUUGGCACCAUCGAGGCUUCACGGCCUUGACGGAAAGUCGAAAAGUUGCUCAAACUUGAUCAUUUAGAGGAAGUAAAAGUCGUAACA